GAUGAACGCUGGCGGCGUGCCUAAUACAUGCAAGUCGAGCGAACAGACGAGGAGCUUGCUCCUCUGACGUUAGCGGCGGACGGGUGAGUAACACGUGGAUAACCUACCUAUAAGACUGGGAUAACUUCGGGAAACCGGAGCUAAUACCGGAUAAUAUAUUGAACCGCAUGGUUCAAUAGUGAAAGACGGUUUUGCUGUCACUUAUAGAUGGAUCCGCGCCGCAUUAGCUAGUUGGUAAGGUAAAGGCUUACCAAGGCAACGAUGCGUAGCCGACCUGAGAGGGAGAUCGCCCACACUGUAAGUGAGGCACGGCCCAGACUCCGACGGGAGGACGCAGUCGGGAAUCUUCCGCAAUGGGGGAGAGCCUGAUGGAGCACAGCCGCCGGAGUGAUGAAGGUCUUCGGAUCCUAAAACGCUGUAAUUAGGAAAGAACAAAUGUGUAAGUACCUAUGCACGUCUUGACGGUACCUAAUCAGAAAGCCCCGGCUAACUCCGUG
RNAcentral lists this ribosomal RNA (497 nucleotides) under uncultured bacterium. RNAcentral describes it as "partial 16S ribosomal RNA". It matches the Rfam family "Bacterial small subunit ribosomal RNA", at positions 28 to 507 of the family's 1533-position model. The record is from RNAcentral.